Molecule: long non-coding RNA, 461 nt
Filed under: Equus caballus (horse)
Lineage: Eukaryota; Metazoa; Chordata; Mammalia; Perissodactyla; Equidae
Description: lncRNA (ENSECAG00000046560.1)
Source: RNAcentral
UGAGUCAUUGGAUUAGGACCUUUAGGAAAAGACAAUUAGGACAAUUAGGAAAAAAGCUGAAGAUUCUCUCAUAAUGUAAUUCAUCAGGCCUCAGUUCAACUCAAGCAGGAUCUUAGUAGACUGGUCCCCCUACCUAAUAUGGGAUCUAGAAUCCAACCAUCCCUACUGCAAUCAAGGAAACAGUUUCACCUCCCACCUCUCACUGUGUGACCAAGCUACAGAGAACAACCUCUAAAGCUGCUUUCCAAGAUGAGGCCCAGACGGCAGUGGGUGAUGUCUUCAAUUUCCAACCAAAGGGCCCUAAAGGAGCCAGAACGGAUUUCCAGAAAGAGCCUUAAACCAAAAGAACGUACCUAUAAUGGAAGGCAGCCUCUCCUGGGAGACAAGUGGUCGUAGGAACCUUCUUUUUACUCCUCGGUUCACACCCUGUAGUCACCAUAAAAUUGCAACAUUUGAGCCAG